GUGGGGAAUCUUAGACAAUGGGGGAAACCCUGAUCUAGCCAUGCCGCGUGAUCGAUGAAGGCCUUAGGGUUGUAAAGAUCUUUCAGGUGGGAAGAUAAUGACUGUACCACCAGAAGAAGCCCCGGCUAACUCCGUGCCAGCAGCCGCGGUAAUACGGAGGGGGCUAGCGUUGUUCGGAAUUACUGGGCGUAAAGCGCACGUAGGCGGAUUGGAAAGUUGGGGGUGAAAUCCCGGGGCUCAACCCCGGAACUGCCUUCAAAACUCCCAGUCUUGAGUUCGAGAGAGGUGAGUGGAAUUCCGAGUGUAGAGGUGAAAUUCGUAGAUAUUCGGAGGAACACCAGUGGCGAAGGCGGCUCACUGGCUCGAUACUGACGCUGAGGUGCGAAAGCGUGGGGAGCAAACAGGAUUAGAUACCCUUGUAGUCC
RNAcentral lists this ribosomal RNA (425 nucleotides) under uncultured bacterium. Its description in RNAcentral is "partial 16S ribosomal RNA". It matches the Rfam family "Bacterial small subunit ribosomal RNA", at positions 354 to 796 of the family's 1533-position model. The record is from RNAcentral.